Dendronephthya gigantea is the source of this 142-nucleotide long non-coding RNA. RefSeq lists it as uncharacterized. Lineage: Eukaryota; Metazoa; Cnidaria; Anthozoa; Malacalcyonacea; Nephtheidae. The transcript is spliced from 3 exons. The record is from RefSeq and is a predicted model, not a curated record.
ACUCUAUGUUUUCCGACAGAAAGCGGGAUGGCUACCGACAGCGAGGAGCAGCAAGGAAGUGGUCGUGAUACUGCAGAAGAGAAUGAAGCUACGAUAUCGGAAGGAGGAAUGGAUCUGGAGACAGAUGACAUGGAUAAGAAAA